This is a long non-coding RNA of Drosophila miranda, 16574 nucleotides long. RefSeq lists it as uncharacterized. The record is from RefSeq and is a predicted model, not a curated record. The transcript is spliced from 5 exons. Lineage: Eukaryota; Metazoa; Arthropoda; Insecta; Diptera; Drosophilidae.
AUUCAAAGCGAAGGGAGCCACACGUGUACGUAGAUAAUGAUCUAGCUAUGGUGAGAAAUUUCGACACUCAUAUAGGGGUGUCUAAAAAGCUUAUCCCGAAGUUCAAAGGACCUUAUAAGAUAUCAAAGGUGCUAAAAAAUGAUAGGUAUUUGCUAGAAGAUGUAGAGGGGUUUCAACAAUCAAGGAUCGCGUAUAAAGGAGUUUGGGCGGUGGCGAAUAUGAAGCCAUGGAUAGAAAAUGGUAAUAAUGCAAAUGUCACAGGGAAUCAAAAUGAAGAAAAUGAUUGAAAUACGUAAACUUAAAAUGUUAAGAGUAAACCACACCCAACUGUAAUAAAUCAAUCUAUCUAGAAACUAACUUAAAUGUAAGGAGUUCGGGAGCACUCCGGUCAGGAUGGCCAAAUUGUAGCAAGGUAAUAAUUAGUAAGGCAUUCAAUUAGUAUUUAAAAUAGCAUACAGCGCGCAUUGGUAUUUACCGCACCAUCGAUACACUCGGCGGGAAAUACCAAUAGUGAGAUAUCGGAUAAGAAACAUCGAUAAUAAAGUAACUUCACUUUGUAAAUGGCGAUCGUGAGAGACAGACGCGCAGCUAAUAAAAAGAGUUAUAUCAAAUCGCCGGGCUUGUGUUUUUGUACAUAGGCAGUUCACCCACACACCGAUAUUGGUCACUACAAUUCUCAGGUUAGACGGCCUACAAUUUCAGAAGUGGGAUAGGAUCAACCGCCGCCAGUGAAAAAUAGCGAAAAUUUUUAUUUUCUCGUCCGUCGAAGACGCCAUCGCUGAAAAAAACAUGUCGGGCUUGGUCGGCACGGAGGAGUUCUCGGCCGCCCAGCUGCGCGGAUGGCUGGAGUCCCCCAAUCUACCAAAAGGUGGAAGCAAAGCCGCCAUGGCAGCGAGACUUAACGAAAUACCAGUAGAGCUUCGGGGACAGGGACCACCGGCAGCCGAAACAAGCGAGAGCGAGAGGGAAGAUGAGGCAGCCGCAGAUCAAGACUCGACGAAGAGCGAACGCAAAGAGGCACAACAACAACCACGGCGAAUAUCGAGCAGACGUUGAAAUAUUAAAAUUGCAAAUCGAGCUGCUGAAGCUGCAGAGCGAGAGAGAGAAGGAAGGGAGAGUAGAGAACACAACACCAGCCGCCAACAAUGACGCUGGCGUCAUGCUGCUAAAUGCCGCCAAAGACAUGUUGCCAACAUAUCAUGGCAACAUUUCUGGAAACAACGAUGACGUCACAACUUGGAUCGCGCAGUUUAAGGCCAUCGCAAAAGUGAACAAAUUGAAGGAGGAGAAGCUACUAAUGCUGCUAAUGUCGAAGCUUAAGGACAAAGCAUUGGUGUGGCUGCAUUCGAGUCCGGAGCACAUGUCGUUGCCAAUCGAUCAGUUGUUGAACGUCAUGGAAGACAUCGCAAGGAAAGCAAACUGUUGCUCCGCCGCAAGUUCGAGUCCCGUUCAUGAGGACGUGACGAGGAGUUCUCAAUGUACUUCAACGCCAAAGUGGCGCUGGCAUCCCGCAUAGUCAUUGACGACGAGGAGUUUAUCGACGGAGUCAUUGAAGGUAUCCCAGAUGUAGGCCUGCGUAGGCAAGCCCACAUGCAGUGAUUUGGUGGUCCAUAUCAACUACUCAAGGCGUUCGAGAAGAUCAUGCUGCCAAAGAAGUACGGUUCAACUGAGGGGGCAAACACUGGAGCCUCGCCAACACCCACUCGCUGCUACAACUGCAACUCUUUGGGCCACGUGGCAGGGGAGUGCCGCAAGCCCAAGCGCGAAAGAGGAGCUUGAUACGGAUGCGGCAGCAUGAGUCACCACUGUGACGAAAAGAAGAACAAGAUUGCCUCAUCGACUCAGGGAGCCCAAUAAGUUUUAUAAAGUUAUCAUGUCUAGAGCACCAGUCGGAAAAUAAACUAAAUAAAGCGGAAGAGCGCUCACGAUUAAGUUCAAAUGAAAUCAAAGAAGAUGAUUUAAGUUUAUAUAAGUUUAACAAAGACAAGAAAAACAGAGAAAUUGAAUUUAUUUUGAAUAAAAAUUCGGAUUACGCUUAUGUUGGACUAAACAAUAGCAAACUUAACAUCUUUGGUAAAAUACCCAGUUUUGUAAUUAUUAACAAAAAUCGAAUCAACUUUGAAUUACUAGUAGUGGCAGACGAGUCGAUGGGCUAUGAGGCUGUGUUAGGUAGGGAUUUUAUGAAUUUAUGCAAAUUUAAAAUUGUAAGUGAAAUUUGCAAGGAGAAGGAGAGUGGGACAAAAAACAAGUGCGAAAUAGAAAAUAAUUGUACAGAAAGGAGCAAGCGUGAAACAGAUAACGAAAAAGGAAUAAAAAAUGAGUGUUUAGGAGAAGAUGAGUGGUUAGAAGAAAGUGAGUGUGACAUAAAAAAUUAGUGUUUAGAAGAAAAUGAGUGUGGAAUAGAGAAUGAGUGUUUAGGAAAAAAUGUGUGUUUAGAAGAAAAUGAGUGUGGAAUAGAGAAUGAUUGUUUAGGAGAAUAUGAGUGUGAAGUAAAAGAUGAGGGUGGUAAAGAGAACGAGCAUGAAGUAGAAAGUGAAGGCAAGGUAGAAAAUGAGUGUUCUGCAAUGGUUGAAUGUCUGCAAGACAGCGAUACCUGCGAGAGCGUAAAAGCCAAUUUCAACGAACUACCAAGCCAGUAUCCAGACAAAGAAAACGAUUGGGAGUUGAAAGUAGGGACAGAUUGUAGCCAAAAACUCGCAGGACGACUUAAAUACAUGUUUAGGACAGCGUAUGUAAACGCAGAAAGACCAAACUUACCACAAACCAAGUGGGAAAUGAAGUUGAAUUUCGAACACGAAAAACCGUUUCAUUGCCCACUUAGAAGACUGUCGUAUAGCGAGAAAGCCCAAGUACAGAAAAUGAUAGACGAUUACACAGAAAAAGGUUACAUCAGAACCAGUGAGUCAGUAUACGUUUCGCCUAUAGUACUGGUAAAAAAGAAUUCAGGAGAGUUGAGACUGUGCGUCGAUUAUCGCACACUUAAUAAAGGAAUGAUAAAGGACAAUUACCCAACGCCUCUUAUAGACGACCUACUAGAUAAACUGUCAGGGAAAAGACUUUUCACCAAGUUAGACCUGAAGACUGGAUACUUCCACGUAUUUAUGCAUAAAGAUUCAGUAAAAUACACGUCGUUCACGACCCCGAUGGGACAAUACGAAUGGCUGAGGAUGCCGUUCGGGUAACGAAAUGCAUCUGCGGUGUUUCAAAGAUUCACAAACAACAUUUUCGCAGACAUGGUAAAGGAAGACAAAGCUAUAAUAUACAUGGACGAUAUUAUGGUAGCAACAAAAGAUAGUGCUAGUCACAUGGAAAUUUUACAAGAAGUGAUGAGACGAUUGGUAGAGAAUAAACUUGAAUUAAGGAUUGAUAAAUGCGAAUUCUUACAGUCAGAAGUUAAGUACCUGGGCUAUUCCAUAUCGGGUAACGGAAUUAAACCAGAUACGAAGGGAUUACAGGCAGUAAAAGGGUUCCUAGUCCCUACGAAAACGAAUGAAGUGCAGAGUUUCUUAGGGUUAUGUUCUUACUUUAGACGGUUCGUAAAAGAUUUUUCUAUGAAAGCUAAGCCCCUUUAUGAUUUGGUCAAAAAAGACAGGAAGUUUGAAUUCGGUAUCGUAGAACUAGAAUGUUUCGAGCAACUCAAAAGUAACUUGUUGGAAGCACCGAUCUUGGAACUUUACAAUCCCAGAGAUACGACAGAAUUACAUUGCGAUGCAAGUUCGUUGGGUUUCGGGUCAAUUCUAAUGCAGAAGAAGGGUGAUGGCAGAAUGCACCCAGUCUUCUAUUUCUCCAAGCGAACAACAAUUACCGAAGCCAAAUACCACAGCUUUGAGCUGGAGACACUAUGCACUACAACGGUUUAGAGUAUACGUGCAAGGCAUAACCUUCAAAAUAGUGACAGACUGCAACGCGCUAACUAUGACUCUAAACAAAAAAGAACUCAAUCCACGCAUUGCCCGCUGGGCGUUAGAGUUACAAAAUUAUGAUUACAAAUUAGAACACAGGUCAGGAAGCAGAAUGCAACACGUAGAUGCGCUAAGCAGAGCCAUUCAGAUACUCACGGUAGACACAAACACAUUUGAAGAAAAUGUAAUUAUAUGCCAAAACAGAGAUUGCAAACUGAUGGAGCUGAGAGAAACGUUACAGAAAUCAGAACACAAACAUUAUGAGAUGAGAAACGGAAUAAUAUACAGGAAAAAAGAUAACAAUACUAUCCUAUUCUGCGUACCCGAGGAAAUGGAAGGCCACGUACUCUAUAAGUACCACGAUGAACUAGGGCACGUCGGGAUAGACAAGAUGACCGACGCUAUAUCGCUAUACCAAAAGGGUCGGGACCAUUCGAGGUAGUACAUAUCGACCAUUUCGGGCCAGUCGACAAAGGCAGGGCCAACAAACAUGUUUUAGUAGUAAUAGACGCGUUCACCAAAUUCGUAAGACUUUAUACGACCAAAACCACUAGCACAAAGGAAGCAGUAAUUGCAAUGAAAGAUUAUUUCCGAGCUUACAGUAGACCCAGAUGCAUUGUGUCAGACAGAGGAAGCUGUUUCACGUCAAAAGAGUUUGAAGAAUUCUUAGAACAGAGCAAUGUUAAACACGUAAAGAUAGCAACAGGGUCGCCACAGGCCAACGGGCAGGUAGAAAGGGUGAACAGAAGUUUGGGACCCAUGAUUGCAAAGCUUGUCGACCCGGAAAAAGGAUUACACUGGGAUAUGGUAGUAGAAACAGUAGAACACGCGAUGAACAACACAAUUCAAAGAACAAUUAAUGAACACCCGAGUAGAAUGUUGUUUGGGGUCGUACAAAAAGGAAAGGUUUCAGAUUUACUAAAAGAUCAUCUAGAAGAACUAACCGAACAACGGGCAACAAGGGAUCUAGAAAAGAUUAUAACAGUAGCAGGCACUCAUCAGGAAAAAAUACAGUCUUAUAACAAACAAGAAGCAGAUUCAAAGCGAAGGGAGCCACACGUGUACGUAGAUAAUGAUCUAGCUAUGGUGAGAAAUUUCGACACUCAUAUAGGGGUGUCUAAAAAGCUUAUCCCGAAGUUCAAAGGACCUUAUAAGAUAUCAAAGGUGCUAAAAAAUGAUAGGUAUUUGCUAGAAGAUGUAGAGGGGUUUCAACAAUCAAGGAUCGCGUAUAAAGGAGUUUGGGCGGUGGCGAAUAUGAAGCCAUGGAUAGAAAAUGGUAAUAAUGCAAAUGUCACAGGGAAUCAAAAUGAAGAAAAUGAUUGAAAUACGUAAACUUAAAAUGUUAAGAGUAAACCACACCCAACUGUAAUAAAUCAAUCUAUCUAGAAACUAACUUAAAUGUAAGGAGUUCGGGAGCACUCCGGUCAGGAUGGCCAAAUUGUAGCAAGGUAAUAAUUAGUAAGGCAUUCAAUUAGUAUUUAAAAUAGCAUACAGCGCGCAUUGGUAUUUACCGCACCAUCGAUACACUCGGCGGGAAAUACCAAUAGUGAGAUAUCGGAUAAGAAACAUCGAUAAUAAAGUAACUUCACUUUGUAAAUGGCGAUCGUGAGAGACAGACGCGCAGCUAAUAAAAAGAGUUAUAUCAAAUCGCCGGGCUUGUGUUUUUGUACAUAGGCAGUUCACCCACACACCGAUAUUGGUCACUACAAUUCUCAGGUUAGACGGCCUACAAUUUCAGAAGUGGGAUAGGAUCAACCGCCGCCAGUGAAAAAUAGCGAAAAUUUUUAUUUUCUCGUCCGUCGAAGACGCCAUCGCUGAAAAAAACAUGUCGGGCUUGGUCGGCACGGAGGAGUUCUCGGCCGCCCAGCUGCGCGGAUGGCUGGAGUCCCCCAAUCUACCAAAAGGUGGAAGCAAAGCCGCCAUGGCAGCGAGACUUAACGAAAUACCAGUAGAGCUUCGGGGACAGGGACCACCGGCAGCCGAAACAAGCGAGAGCGAGAGGGAAGAUGAGGCAGCCGCAGAUCAAGACUCGACGAAGAGCGAACGCAAAGAGGCACAACAACAACCACGGCGAAUAUCGAGCAGACGUUGAAAUAUUAAAAUUGCAAAUCGAGCUGCUGAAGCUGCAGAGCGAGAGAGAGAAGGAAGGGAGAGUAGAGAACACAACACCAGCCGCCAACAAUGACGCUGGCGUCAUGCUGCUAAAUGCCGCCAAAGACAUGUUGCCAACAUAUCAUGGCAACAUUUCUGGAAACAACGAUGACGUCACAACUUGGAUCGCGCAGUUUAAGGCCAUCGCAAAAGUGAACAAAUUGAAGGAGGAGAAGCUACUAAUGCUGCUAAUGUCGAAGCUUAAGGACAAAGCAUUGGUGUGGCUGCAUUCGAGUCCGGAGCACAUGUCGUUGCCAAUCGAUCAGUUGUUGAACGUCAUGGAAGACAUCGCAAGGAAAGCAAACUGUUGCUCCGCCGCAAGUUCGAGUCCCGUUCAUGAGGACGUGACGAGGAGUUCUCAAUGUACUUCAACGCCAAAGUGGCGCUGGCAUCCCGCAUAGUCAUUGACGACGAGGAGUUUAUCGACGGAGUCAUUGAAGGUAUCCCAGAUGUAGGCCUGCGUAGGCAAGCCCACAUGCAGUGAUUUGGUGGUCCAUAUCAACUACUCAAGGCGUUCGAGAAGAUCAUGCUGCCAAAGAAGUACGGUUCAACUGAGGGGGCAAACACUGGAGCCUCGCCAACACCCACUCGCUGCUACAACUGCAACUCUUUGGGCCACGUGGCAGGGGAGUGCCGCAAGCCCAAGCGCGAAAGAGGAGCUUGAUACGGAUGCGGCAGCAUGAGUCACCACUGUGACGAAAAGAAGAACAAGAUUGCCUCAUCGACUCAGGGAGCCCAAUAAGUUUUAUAAAGUUAUCAUGUCUAGAGCACCAGUCGGAAAAUAAACUAAAUAAAGCGGAAGAGCGCUCACGAUUAAGUUCAAAUGAAAUCAAAGAAGAUGAUUUAAGUUUAUAUAAGUUUAACAAAGACAAGAAAAACAGAGAAAUUGAAUUUAUUUUGAAUAAAAAUUCGGAUUACGCUUAUGUUGGACUAAACAAUAGCAAACUUAACAUCUUUGGUAAAAUACCCAGUUUUGUAAUUAUUAACAAAAAUCGAAUCAACUUUGAAUUACUAGUAGUGGCAGACGAGUCGAUGGGCUAUGAGGCUGUGUUAGGUAGGGAUUUUAUGAAUUUAUGCAAAUUUAAAAUUGUAAGUGAAAUUUGCAAGGAGAAGGAGAGUGGGACAAAAAACAAGUGCGAAAUAGAAAAUAAUUGUACAGAAAGGAGCAAGCGUGAAACAGAUAACGAAAAAGGAAUAAAAAAUGAGUGUUUAGGAGAAGAUGAGUGGUUAGAAGAAAGUGAGUGUGACAUAAAAAAUUAGUGUUUAGAAGAAAAUGAGUGUGGAAUAGAGAAUGAGUGUUUAGGAAAAAAUGUGUGUUUAGAAGAAAAUGAGUGUGGAAUAGAGAAUGAUUGUUUAGGAGAAUAUGAGUGUGAAGUAAAAGAUGAGGGUGGUAAAGAGAACGAGCAUGAAGUAGAAAGUGAAGGCAAGGUAGAAAAUGAGUGUUCUGCAAUGGUUGAAUGUCUGCAAGACAGCGAUACCUGCGAGAGCGUAAAAGCCAAUUUCAACGAACUACCAAGCCAGUAUCCAGACAAAGAAAACGAUUGGGAGUUGAAAGUAGGGACAGAUUGUAGCCAAAAACUCGCAGGACGACUUAAAUACAUGUUUAGGACAGCGUAUGUAAACGCAGAAAGACCAAACUUACCACAAACCAAGUGGGAAAUGAAGUUGAAUUUCGAACACGAAAAACCGUUUCAUUGCCCACUUAGAAGACUGUCGUAUAGCGAGAAAGCCCAAGUACAGAAAAUGAUAGACGAUUACACAGAAAAAGGUUACAUCAGAACCAGUGAGUCAGUAUACGUUUCGCCUAUAGUACUGGUAAAAAAGAAUUCAGGAGAGUUGAGACUGUGCGUCGAUUAUCGCACACUUAAUAAAGGAAUGAUAAAGGACAAUUACCCAACGCCUCUUAUAGACGACCUACUAGAUAAACUGUCAGGGAAAAGACUUUUCACCAAGUUAGACCUGAAGACUGGAUACUUCCACGUAUUUAUGCAUAAAGAUUCAGUAAAAUACACGUCGUUCACGACCCCGAUGGGACAAUACGAAUGGCUGAGGAUGCCGUUCGGGUAACGAAAUGCAUCUGCGGUGUUUCAAAGAUUCACAAACAACAUUUUCGCAGACAUGGUAAAGGAAGACAAAGCUAUAAUAUACAUGGACGAUAUUAUGGUAGCAACAAAAGAUAGUGCUAGUCACAUGGAAAUUUUACAAGAAGUGAUGAGACGAUUGGUAGAGAAUAAACUUGAAUUAAGGAUUGAUAAAUGCGAAUUCUUACAGUCAGAAGUUAAGUACCUGGGCUAUUCCAUAUCGGGUAACGGAAUUAAACCAGAUACGAAGGGAUUACAGGCAGUAAAAGGGUUCCUAGUCCCUACGAAAACGAAUGAAGUGCAGAGUUUCUUAGGGUUAUGUUCUUACUUUAGACGGUUCGUAAAAGAUUUUUUUAUGAAAGCUAAGCCCCUUUAUGAUUUGGUCAAAAAAGACAGGAAGUUUGAAUUCGGUAUCGUAGAACUAGAAUGUUUCGAGCAACUCAAAAGUAACUUGUUGGAAGCACCGAUCUUGGAACUUUACAAUCCCAGAGAUACGACAGAAUUACAUUGCGAUGCAAGUUCGUUGGGUUUCGGGUCAAUUCUAAUGCAGAAGAAGGGUGAUGGCAGAAUGCACCCAGUCUUCUAUUUCUCCAAGCGAACAACAAUUACCGAAGCCAAAUACCACAGCUUUGAGCUGGAGACACUAUGCACUACAACGGUUUAGAGUAUACGUGCAAGGCAUAACCUUCAAAAUAGUGACAGACUGCAACGCGCUAACUAUGACUCUAAACAAAAAAGAACUCAAUCCACGCAUUGCCCGCUGGGCGUUAGAGUUACAAAAUUAUGACUACAAAUUAGAACACAGGUCAGGAAGCAGAAUGCAACACGUAGAUGCGCUAAGCAGAGCCAUUCAGAUACUCACGGUAGACACAAACACAUUUGAAGAAAAUGUAAUUAUAUGCCAAAACAGAGAUUGCAAACUGAUGGAGCUGAGAGAAACGUUACAGAAAUCAGAACACAAACAUUAUGAGAUGAGAAACGGAAUAAUAUACAGGAAAAAAGAUAACAAUACUAUCCUAUUCUGCGUACCCGAGGAAAUGGAAGGCCACGUACUCUAUAAGUACCACGAUGAACUAGGGCACGUCGGGAUAGACAAGAUGACCGACGCUAUAUCGCUAUACCAAAAGGGUCGGGACCAUUCGAGGUAGUACAUAUCGACCAUUUCGGGCCAGUCGACAAAGGCAGGGCCAACAAACAUGUUUUAGUAGUAAUAGACGCGUUCACCAAAUUCGUAAGACUUUAUACGACCAAAACCACUAGCACAAAGGAAGCAGUAAUUGCAAUGAAAGAUUAUUUCCGAGCUUACAGUAGACCCAGAUGCAUUGUGUCAGACAGAGGAAGCUGUUUCACGUCAAAAGAGUUUGAAGAAUUCUUAGAACAGAGCAAUGUUAAACACGUAAAGAUAGCAACAGGGUCGCCACAGGCCAACGGGCAGGUAGAAAGGGUGAACAGAAGUUUGGGACCCAUGAUUGCAAAGCUUGUUGACCCGGAAAAAGGAUUACACUGGGAUAUGGUAGUAGAAACAGUAGAACACGCGAUGAACAACACAAUUCAAAGAACAAUUAAUGAACACCCGAGUAGAAUGUUGUUUGGGGUCGUACAAAAAGGAAAGGUUUCAGAUUUACUAAAAGAUCAUCUAGAAGAACUAACCGAACAACGGGCAACAAGGGAUCUAGAAAAGAUUAUAACAGUAGCAGGCACUCAUCAGGAAAAAAUACAGUCUUAUAACAAACAAGAAGCAGAUUCAAAGCGAAGGGAGCCACACGUGUACGUAGAUUAUGAUCUAGCUAUGGUGAGAAAUUUCGACACUCAUAUAGGGGUGUCUAAAAAGCUUAUCCCGAAGUUCAAAGGACCUUAUAAGAUAUCAAAGGUGCUAAAAAAUGAUAGGUAUUUGCUAGAAGAUGUAGAGGGGUUUCAACAAUCAAGGAUCGCGUAUAAAGGAGUUUGGGCGGUGGCGAAUAUGAAGCCAUGGAUAGAAAAUGGUAAUAAUGCAAAUGUCACAGGGAAUCAAAAUGAAGAAAAUGAUUGAAAUACGUAAACUUAAAAUGUUAAGAGUAAACCACACCCAACUGUAAUAAAUCAAUCUAUCUAGAAACUAACUUAAAUGUAAGGAGUUCGGGAGCACUCCGGUCAGGAUGGCCAAAUUGUAGCAAGGUAAUAAUUAGUAAGGCAUUCAAUUAGUAUUUAAAAUAGCAUACAGCGCGCAUUGGUAUUUACCGCACCAUCGAUACACUCGGCGGGAAAUACCAAUAGUGAGAUAUCGGAUAAGAAACAUCGAUAAUAAAGUAACUUCACUUUGUAAAUGGCGAUCGUGAGAGACAGACGCGCAGCUAAUAAAAAGAGUUAUAUCAAAUCGCCGGGCUUGUGUUUUUGUACAUAGGCAGUUCACCCACACACCGAUAUUGGUCACUACAAUUCUCAGGUUAGACGGCCUACAAUUUCAGAAGUGGGAUAGGAUCAACCGCCGCCAGUGAAAAAUAGCGAAAAUUUUUAUUUUCUCGUCCGUCGAAGACGCCAUCGCUGAAAAAAACAUGUCGGGCUUGGUCGGCACGGAGGAGUUCUCGGCCGCCCAGCUGCGCGGAUGGCUGGAGUCCCCCAAUCUACCAAAAGGUGGAAGCAAAGCCGCCAUGGCAGCGAGACUUAACGAAAUGCCAGUAGAGCUUCGGGGACAGGGACCACCGGCAGCCGAAACAAGCGAGAGCGAGAGGGAAGAUGAGGCAGCCGCAGAUCAAGACUCGACGAAGAGCGAACGCAAAGAGGCACAACAACAACCACGGCGAAUAUCGAGCAGACGUUGAAAUAUUAAAAUUGCAAAUCGAGCUGCUGAAGCUGCAGAGCGAGAGAGAGAAGGAAGGGAGAGUAGAGAACACAACACCAGCCGCCAACAAUGACGCUGGCGUCAUGCUGCUAAUUGCCGCCAAAGACAUGUUGCUAACAUAUCAUGGCAACAUUUCUGCAAACAACGAUGACGUCACAACUUGGAUCGCGCAGUUUAAGGCCAUCACAAAAGUGAACAAACUCCAAAGUGGCGCUGGCAUCCCGCAUAGUCAUUGACGACGAGGAGUUUAUCGACGGAGUCAUUGAAGGUAUCCCAGAUGUAGGCCUGCGUAGGCAAGCCCACAUGCAGUGAUUUGGUGCUCCAUAUCAACUACUCAAGGCAGUUCAACUGAAGGGGCAAACACUGGAGCCUCGCCAACACCCACUCGCUGCUACAACUGCAACUCUUUGGGCCACGUGGCAGGGGAGUGCCGCAAGCCCAAGCGCGAAAGAGGAGCGUGAUACGGAUGCGGCAGCAUGAGUCACCAGGUGUCACACUGUGACGAAAAGAAGAACAAGAUUGCCUCAUCGACUCAGGGAGCCCAAUAAGUUUUAUAAAGUUAUCAUGUCUAGAGCACCAGUCGGAAAAUAAACUAAAUAAAGCGGAAGAGCGCUCACGAUUAAGUUCAAAUGAAAUCAAAGAAGAUGAUUUAAGUUUAUAUAAGUUUAACAAAGACAAGAAAAACAGAGAAAUUGAAUUUAUUUUGAAUAAAAAUUCGGAUUACGCUUAUGUUGGACUAAACAAUAGCAAACUUAACAUAUUUGGUAAAAUACCCAGUUUUGUAAUUAUUAACAAAAAUCGAAUCAACUUUGAAUUACUAGUAGUGGCAGACGAGUCGAUGGGCUAUGAGGCUGUGUUAGGUAGGGAUUUUAUGAAUUUAUGCAAAUUUAAAAUUGUAAGUGAAAUUUGCAAGGAGAAGGAGAGUGGGACAAAAAACAAGUGCGAAAUAGAAAAUAAUUGUAUAGAAAGGAGCAAGCGUGAAACAGAUAACGAAAAAGGAAUAAAAAAUGAGUGUUUAGGAGAAGAUGAGUGGUUAGAAGAAAGUGAGUGUGACAUAAAAAAUGAGUGUUUAGAAGAAAAUGAGUGUGGAAUAGAGAAUGAGUGUUUAGGAAAAAAUGAGUGUUUAGAAGAAAAUGAGUGUGGAAUAGAGAAUGAUUGUUUAGGAGAAUAUGAGAGUGAAGUAAAAGAUGAGGGUGGUAAAGAGAACGAGCAUGAAGUAGAAAGUGAAGGCAAGGUAGAAAAUGAGUGUUCUGCAGUGGUUGAAUGUCUGCAAGACAGCGAUACCUGCGAGAGCGUAAAAGCCAAUUUCAACGAACUACCAAGCCAGUAUCCAGACAAAGAAAACGAUUGGGAGUUGAAAGUAGGGACAGAUUGUAGCCAAGAACUCGCAGGACGACUAAAAUACAUGUUUAGGACAGCGUAUGUAAACGCAGAAAGACCAAACUUACCACAAACCAAGUGGGAAAUGAAGUUGAAUUUCGAACACGAAAAACCGUUUCAUUGCCCACUUAGAAGACUGUCGUAUAGCGAGAAAGCCCAAGUACAGAAAAUGAUAGACGAUUACACAGAAAAAGGUUACAUCAGAACCAGUGAGUCAGUAUACGUUUCGCCUAUAGUACUGGUAAAAAAGAAUUCGGGAGAGUUGAGACUGUGCGUCGAUUAUCGCACACUUAAUAAAGGAAUGAUAAAGGACAAUUACCCAACGCCUCUUAUAGACGACCUACUAGAUAAACUGUCAGGGAAAAGACUUUUCACCAAGUUAGACCUGAAGACUGGAUACUUCCACGUAUUUAUGCAUAAAGAUUCAGUAAAAUACACGUCGUUCACGACCCCGAUGGGACAAUACGAAUGGCUGAGGAUGCCGUUCGGGUAACGAAAUGCAUCUGCGGUGUUUCAAAGAUUCACAAACAACAUUUUCGCAGACAUGGUAAAGGAAGACAAAGUUAUAAUAUACAUGGACGAUAUUAUGGUAGCAGCAAAAGAUAGUGCUAGUCACAUGGAAAUUUUACAAGAAGUGAUGAGACGAUUGGUAGAGAAUAAACUUGAAUUAAGGAUUGAUAAAUGCGAAUUCUUACAGUCAGAAGUUAAGUACCUGGGCUAUUCCAUAUCGGGUAACGGAAUUAAACCAGAUACGAAGGGAUUACAGGCAGUAAAAGGGUUCCUAGUCCCUACGAAAACGAAUGAAGUGCAGAGUUUCUUAGGGUUAUGUUCUUACUUUAGACGGUUCGUAAAAGAUUUUUCUAUGAAAGCUAAGCCCCUUUAUGAUUUGGUCAAAAAAGACAGGAAGUUUGAAUUCGGUAUCGUAGAACUAGAAUGUUUCGAGCAACUCAAAAGUAACUUGUUGGAAGCACCGAUCUUGGAACUUUACAAUCCCAGAGAUACGACAGAAUUACAUUGCGAUGCAAGUUCGUUGGGUUUCGGGUCAAUUCUAAUGCAGAAGAAGGGUGAUGGCAGAAUGCACCCAGUCUUCUAAUUCUCCAAGCGAACAACAAUUACCGAAGCCAAAUACCACAGCUUUGAGCUGGAGACACUAUGCACUACAACGGUUUAGAGUAUACGUGCAAGGCAUAACCUUCAAAAUAGUGACAGACUGCAACGCGCUAACUAUGACUCUAAACAAAAAAGAACUCAAUCCACGCAUUGCCCGCUGGGCGAUAGAGUUACAAAAUUAUGACUACAAAUUAGAACACAGGUCAGGAAGCAGAAUGCAACACGUAGAUGCGCUAAGCAGAGCCAUUCAGAUACUCACGGUAGACACAAACACAUUUGAAGAAAAUGUAAUUAUAUGCCAAAACAGAGAUUGCAAACUGAUGGAGCUGAGAGAAACGUUACAGAAAUCAGAACACAAACAUUAUGAGAUGAGAAACGGAAUAAUAUACAGGAAAAAAGAUAACAAUACUAUCCUAUUCUGCGUAACCGAGGAAAUGGAAGGCCACGUACUCUAUAAGUACCACGAUGAACUAGGGCACGUCGGGAUAGACAAGAUGACCGACGCUAUAUCGCUAUACCAAAAGGGUCGGGACCAUUCGAGGUAGUACAUAUCGACCAUUUCGGGCCAGUCGACAAAGGCAGGGCCAACAAACAUGUUUUAGUAGUAAUAGACGCGUUCACCAAAUUCGUAAGACUUUAUACGACCAAAACCACUAGCACAAAGGAAGCAGUAAUUGCAAUGAAAGAUUAUUUCCGAGCUUACAGUAGACCCAGAUGCAUUGUGUCAGACAGAGGAAGCUGUUUCACGUCAAAAGAGUUUGAAGAAUUCUUAGAACAGAGCAAUGUUAAACACGUAAAGAUAGCAACAGGGUCGCCACAGGCCAACGGGCAGGUAGAAAGGGUGAACAGAAGUUUGGGACCCAUGAUUGCAAAGCUUGUUGACCCGGAAAAAGGAUUACACUGGGAUAUGGUAGUAGAAACAGUAGAACACGCGAUGAACAACACAAUUCAAAGAACAAUUAAUGAACACCCGAGUAGAAUGUUGUUUGGGGUCGUACAAAAAGGAAAGGUUUCAGAUUUACUAAAAGAUCAUCUAGAAGAACUAACCGAACAACGGGCAACAAGGGAUCUAGAAAAGAUUAUAACAGUAGCAGGCACUCAUCAGGAAAAAAUACAGUCUUAUAACAAACAAGAAGCAGAUUCAAAGCGAAGGGAGCCACACGUGUACGUAGAUAAUGAUCUAGCUAUGGUGAGAAAUUUCGACACUCAUAUAGGGGUGUCUAAAAAGCUUAUCCCGAAGUUCAAAGGACCUUAUAAGAUAUCAAAGGUGCUAAAAAAUGAUAGGUAUUUGCUAGAAGAUGUAGAGGGGUUUCAACAAUCAAGGAUCGCGUAUAAAGAAGUUUGGGCGGUGGCGAAUAUGAAGCCAUGGAUAGAAAAUGGUAAUAAUGCAAAUGUCACAGGGAAUCAAAAUGAAGAAAAUGAUUGAAAUACGUAAACUUAAAAUGUUAAGAGUAAACCACACCCAACUGUAAUAAAUCAAUCUAUCUAGAAACUAACUUAAAUGUAAGGAGUUCGGGAGCACUCCGGUCAGGAUGGCCAAAUUGUAGCAAGGUAAUAAUUAGUAAGGCAUUCAAUUAGUAUUUAAAAUAGCAUACAGCGCGCAUUGGUAUUUACCGCACCAUCGAUACACUCGGCGGGAAAUACCAAUAGUGAGAUAUCGGAUAAGAAACAUCGAUAAUAAAGUUACUUCACUUUGUAAAUGGCGAUCGUGAGAGACAGACGCGCAGCUAAUAAAAAGAGUUAUAUCAAAUCGCCGGGCUUGUGUUUUUGUACAUAGGCAGUUCACCCACACACCGAUAUUGGUCACUACAAUUCUCAGGUUAGACGGCCUACAAUUUCAGAAGUGGGAUAGGAUCAACCGCCGCCAGUGAAAAAUAGCGAAAAUUUUUAUUUUCUCGUCCGUCGAAGACGCCAUCGCUGAAAAAAACAUGUCGGGCUUGGUCGGCACGGAGGAGUUCUCGGCCGCCCAGCUGCGCGGAUGGCUGGAGUCCCCCAAUCUACCAAAAGGUGGAAGCAACGCCGCCAUGGCAGCGAGACUUAACGAAAUACCAGUAGAGCUUCGGGGACAGGGACCACCGGCAGCCGAAACAAGCGAGAGAGAGAGGGAAGAUGAGGCAGCCGCAGAUCAAGACUCGACGAAGAGCGAACGCAAAGAGGCACAACACGGCGAAUAUCGAGCAGACGUUGAAAUAUUAAAAUUGCAAAUCGAGCUGCUGAAGCUGCAGAGCGAGAGAGAGAAGGAAGGGAGAGUAGAGAACACAACACCAGCCGCCAACAAUGACGCUGGCGUCAUGCUGCUAAUUGCCGCCAAAGACAUGUUGCUAACAUAUCAUGGCAACAUUUCUGCAAACAACGAUGACGUCACAACUUGGAUCGCGCAGUUUAAGGCCAUCACAAAAGUGAACAAACUCCAAAGUGGCGCUGGCAUCCCGCAUAGUCAUUGACGACGAGGAGUUUAUCGACGGAGUCAUUGAAGGUAUCCCAGAUGUAGGCCUGCGUAGGCAAGCCCACAUGCAGUUAUUUGGUGCUCCAUAUCAACUACUCAAGGCAGUUCAACUGAAGGGGCAAACACUGGAGCCUCGCCAACACCCACUCGCUGCUACAACUGCAACUCUUUGGGCCACGUGGCAGGGGAGUGCCGCAAGCCCAAGCGCGAAAGAGGAGCGUGAUACGGAUGCGGCAGCAUGAGUCACCAGGUGUCACACUGUGACGAAAAGAAGAACAAGAUUGCCUCAUCGACUCAGGGAGCCCAAUAAGUUUUAUAAAGUUAUCAUGUCUAGAGCACCAGUCGGAAAAUAAACUAAAUAAAGCGGAAGAGCGCUCACGAUUAAGUUCAAAUGAAAUCAAAGAAGAUGAUUUAAGUUUAUAUAAGUUUAACAAAGACAAGAAAAACAGAGAAAUUGAAUUUAUUUUGAAUAAAAAUUCGGAUUACGCUUAUGUUGGACUAAACAAUAGCAAACUUAACAUCUUUGGUAAAAUACCCAGUUUUGUAAUUAUUAACAAAAAUCGAAUCAACUUUGAAUUACUAGUAGUGGCAGACGAGUCGAUGGGCUAUGAGGCUGUGUUAGGUAGGGAUUUUAUGAAUUUAUGCAAAUUUAAAAUUGUAAGUGAAAUUUGCAAGGAGAAGGAGAG